CUAAUGAUUAUUUCACAUCUUGAAAAAAGAGUUACACGUGCUAUAGAGAUUUGAAAUAUGAAAGUCUGCUUAAGCGUUACACACUUGGCUACGAAGUUUUAACAAAAUGUCAAUCUUUUCUUGACACUUACAUCAGUCAAGUUUAUGAGAUGUGAAAUUAUCAUUCCAUAGACUCAGAAAGUUAAGGUAGAACAGGAUGGCCAUGGUUUACAUGAGAUUUCUUUGAGACAUGCUAAGUGUGAAUGUCCAUUAAACUUUAACAUGGAGAUGCAGAGUUCACAUUAUGAUCUUCCAUUGAAGAUUUGGAGGAAAACGCUGAGCUAGAAAUAUUUUUUGGUGGAUUUCUCAGCCUAGAGGUGAUAUUUAAUGCAGAGAAUAUCUAAGAUCAUCAACGGAAUGAGAGUAGACCAGAAAUAAUCCAAAAAAUUGGUCUAGGGCCCUCCAAAGUUUAUGG
RNAcentral lists this long non-coding RNA (454 nucleotides) under Homo sapiens (human). RNAcentral's name for it is "HSALNT0158137". Lineage: Eukaryota; Metazoa; Chordata; Mammalia; Primates; Hominidae. The record is from RNAcentral.